AUGUCUAAAAACACUCAGAAAACUUUAGAUUUCCUUAAUGUAAGAGGGAGGAAAUCACAUCUGUAAGAGCAAACAAACAAUACAGUUUAUGACAAAAAAAGAUUGAUUUUUUUAUUUUUUAUUAAAAAAAGUAACUUAAUAAUUAGUCAGGGCCAUGAAGGAAACAGCUGCAGUGGACAGAGUACUAUAGAGACAUCCGAACUGAAUUGAUGCCCAGAAUAGACUUUGACUUGUGAAAAUAAUCCAUCUUUUUGUGUUGUUUUAGACUCAUUUGUCAAUUUUUAACAUUUGUUUUCAAGGACUUGAUGGAGUAAAAACUAAAAGCAGAUAUUCAUGCUUUAAUCUGUCAUAUGAGCAGUUUAUUGAUCUGUACGGAAGAGGAUUAGGGCCACUGAAAAAAAAAAGAAAGCCCAUGAAAAAUUCUGACUUUAAUCUCAGAAUUCUGACUUUUUUCUCAAGUCAGAAUUGUGAGAAAAAAGUCAGAAUUCAGAGAAAAAUACUCAGAACUACGGAGGCCCGUGAGUAACAUUCUGCAGCUAGCUCUAGCAGCACACCGGAGUCCUGCCAACCGGAGAGAAACGAACAAAAUUGUCCUCUUUACGUUUCUUUUUCCGUGCUUUAAGAUAACCAGAUGAGGCUACUGUGUUCAUAAAGGAGCAAAAGAUUCACCGUGAUGUGGUCGCUUUGGAGAAUGCAGAAAUGGCACUUCACAUUCCUGUCUGUGGAGUCUGCAACACAUCAUGGCAGAAAAGCCGUUUUUGCUGAUUUUCUUUUCCCAUCAGACACUAGACUACAUCGCUUUUUGGAGACUGUUAUUGUUAAUAUUUGUAAGUGCAUUUAAUGAAGCUUUGACCUGUUGAGGAAUCAAUCAGGUCUAAUUUCAGUCUUUUCUGUCUAAACUUUUUUUUUUGUUUUUUUUGCUAGAACUACUGUCAAGUCUUGAUUUUGUUAAUUUUGUCUUUUUUCUUGAUACGUGUGACAGCACACAGAAUACCUGUUGAUAACUGACAACUUUUCCUUCUAAUUUGACUAAAUGCUUUUGUCAAUUUUCAAUAAAUAUGUAUAAUUAUA
Long non-coding RNA from Oryzias melastigma (Indian medaka), 1071 nucleotides. RefSeq lists it as uncharacterized. The record is from RefSeq and is a predicted model, not a curated record. The transcript is spliced from 2 exons. Lineage: Eukaryota; Metazoa; Chordata; Actinopteri; Beloniformes; Adrianichthyidae.